AUUGAACGCUGGCGGCAGGCUUAACACAUGCAAGUCGAGCGAGUGGCGGACGGGUGAGUAAUGUCUGGGAAACUGCCUGAUGGAGGGGGAUCACUACUGGGAACGGUAGCCAAAUACGCACACCAUAUGAUGAGCCCAGGUGGGAAGAGCGAGUGGGGGGGGGAAUGGCUCACCUAGGCGACGAUCUCUAGCGGGUCUGAGAGGAUGACCAGCCACACUGGAACUGAGACACGGUCAAGACUCCUACGGGAGGCAGAAUGGGGGAAUAUUGGACAAUGGGCGAAAGCCUGAUGCAGCCAUGCCGCGUGUGUGAAGAAGGCCUUCGGUUUGUAAAGCACGUUAAGCGGGGAGGCGUUACUCGCAGAAGAAGCACCGGCUAACUCCGUGCCAGCAGCCGCGGUAAUUC
This 406-nucleotide ribosomal RNA is filed under the name uncultured bacterium. Its description in RNAcentral is "partial 16S ribosomal RNA". It matches the Rfam family "Bacterial small subunit ribosomal RNA", at positions 29 to 526 of the family's 1533-position model. The record is from RNAcentral.